UAAUUACUGUAUGUGGGAGCUUCACCACCAUCUCUGAUUUUCAUUAUGUUUGACUCUUUCUCUGAUUCAAUCUGUUGCCUUUACCAAAUCACCUUUGUCGCACCUUCAUUUGGAAUCUUCAAGUCAAAAAAUGUCUCUCAUCGAAUCUCUCAGCCGCACUCUGCCUUUCUCUCUCACCCUUUUUUAGAAUCUUUCAGUCGUUUUCUCUCUUUCACUCUUACCCUUUUUCAAAAGUUUCACUUUCAACCCUAAGUCUGAUUUGGGAAUUGACCAUAUGAACGAAGCAAUCAAAGAGGGCUGAGGGCUGAGGGCUGAGGGCUGAGGUAUAAAAGGACGAUAUUACCCUCAGCAGAUCGCUCACGUGGUGUUUUUAACGGGCAUUUGGAUGGAAUUAGGGAUUCAGUAGUUUACCCUCAGCAGUCGAAAUAGUCCAUGGGGUAUUCGGUAGUUUACCACAAACAAAAAAUUUUCACCGACUUUUUAGAUUAACCAAAAGGAUUAACUGGUGAUUUGCCCCCUAAACUUAUACCUAACUUUUGAUUUACUCUCUAUCCUUUUUUUUAAAGAAAAUUAUGGAUAUGAACUUCCUUUUUUCACCAUUUUCCCUACUGCCGUAUAAAUCUGCAACAUUUCAUCCAAUUAAAUAUGAGGGCAAAAUGGUCAUUUUGCACAUUUAAAAUAAAUUAAAAAAUGAAAAAUAAAACAAAAACAAGAAAAUUCAAAUAAUACUCUCUCUCUCUCUCUCUCUCU
RNAcentral lists this long non-coding RNA (750 nucleotides) under Prunus persica (peach). RNAcentral's name for it is "long non-coding RNA (PPER_LNC000154)". The record is from RNAcentral. Lineage: Eukaryota; Viridiplantae; Streptophyta; Magnoliopsida; Rosales; Rosaceae.